CUUAAUUAUUUUUGUGAGUUGAGAACGUCGUCUCCCUCUUUCUUUCCAUUUCCUUAGCAGCCGCCCAAGGCGUCGCGGGACGAUGCCGGUCGGCCGCUUACGCCCAUAAUUCCUAUGUUGGCUCCUCAUGUUUCCCUCCACGAUAUCGAAUUAAAAUCCCAAAAAUUAUAAAAGUGCACAAUUAAAUUAUCGCAAGUAUUUCCCCUCGCAAAUACAUUUAUUUCGAAACUUGGGGUAAAUCAUUUGUACAUCGAUUUAUUCCGAGAAUUAAUUAAAUAAUUCCCCACAAUUAAUUUAAUUAUCAACUCAAAGAUUUAUUUAAUUAUCGGUCAAACUAAAAUUAGUGUUCUAUACCUUACUAAUUAUUCUAUAAAAACUAUAGCAACUUGGAUCAUAACAAAUUAUUUUAUAUUCUUAACCAUUUUAUUCUUCCGUCCAAAAUCCCUUAGAAAUUAAUUCCAUCCAGUCAAACAAUUCGUCUUGCUCUUUGAUGAAUCUUGGCCCAGUAAUUAAAUUAUUCUAGCCCACUGUAUAUUCCAUAGUACUAGCCCACAAUAUUUGCACCAAAUUAGAAAUUGUCCCAACACUAAUUAAAUUAGCCCAACUAUUAAUUAGAAAAAAAAACAGUAGCCCCAAUUCUAGGAUUAAAUCAGCCCAUAAUAUCAGCCCAUAUACUCCCCCACACUUAUCGCCAUCGGUCUCCCCUCUCUCUUAAUCUCUAUUCACUCUUCUUCCCCAAUUGCACAAUAGGAAGAAUCCAUCUCCCAAAUCAAAAUUUCCGUCGACCAGCCAUCCCGCCGGCGUCGUCGUCGCCUUCGCUCCACCGCCGGCGUGUUCCCUCCAUCAUUUCUUUCCUCUCUCGCUCCUCUCUCUCUUGUCUCCAGCUCACGUCGCCGCGGAUCCUCCUCCUCCCGAUCUUCCGCCGCACACCGUCGCUGCUGGUGGCCGUCGUCCAGCCACCGUCUCGGCUGUCUAAAGUCAGCCGCUGCUGCUGCCGCUGCACAGAGUCGGGCUGUUUGUUCGCCCCUGCUCCGUCGGUGGUCGUGCAGCCCCGAAACAUCACCACAGCCCCCGAUUCGUCCCGAAACCAAUCCGAACCACCCCGCAAGGUAUAAUCGGUUCAAGUUCGUGGCUGUCCGCGUUGAAGCACCCGAUUUUCUUAGAACGUAGGAUGUAUAAAUUAAAUUUUGUUGGACUUUUGUGGGAUGUAUCGGACAUUAAAAUUUUAAAUUUUUGGGUCUUAUUUAUUUAUUCAUUUAAAUUUAUUAUAUUCA
Salvia splendens (bonfire salvia) is the source of this 1274-nucleotide long non-coding RNA. RefSeq lists it as uncharacterized. The transcript is spliced from 2 exons. The record is from RefSeq and is a predicted model, not a curated record. Lineage: Eukaryota; Viridiplantae; Streptophyta; Magnoliopsida; Lamiales; Lamiaceae.